RNAcentral lists this ribosomal RNA (832 nucleotides) under Lactiplantibacillus plantarum. Its description in RNAcentral is "bacterial SSU rRNA". It matches the Rfam family "Bacterial small subunit ribosomal RNA", at positions 49 to 851 of the family's 1533-position model. The record is from RNAcentral. Lineage: Bacteria; Bacillati; Bacillota; Bacilli; Lactobacillales; Lactobacillaceae.
UAAUGCAGUCGACGAACUCUGGUAUUGAUUGGUGCUUGCAUCAUGAUUUACAUUUGAGUGAGUGGCGAACUGGUGAGUAACACGUGGGAAACCUGCCCAGAAGCGGGGGAUAACACCUGGAAACAGAUGCUAAUACCGCAUAACAACUUGGACCGCAUGGUCCGAGUUUGAAAGAUGGCUUCGGCUAUCACUUUUGGAUGGUCCCGCGGCGUAUUAGCUAGAUGGUGGGGUAACGGCUCACCAUGGCAAUGAUACGUAGCCGACCUGAGAGGGUAAUCGGCCACAUUGGGACUGAGACACGGCCCAAACUCCUACGGGAGGCAGCAGUAGGGAAUCUUCCACAAUGGACGAAAGUCUGAUGGAGCAACGCCGCGUGAGUGAAGAAGGGUUUCGGCUCGUAAAACUCUGUUGUUAAAGAAGAACAUAUCUGAGAGUAACUGUUCAGGUAUUGACGGUAUUUAACCAGAAAGCCACGGCUAACUACGUGCCAGCAGCCGCGGUAAUACGUAGGUGGCAAGCGUUGUCCGGAUUUAUUGGGCGUAAAGCGAGCGCAGGCGGUUUUUUAAGUCUGAUGUGAAAGCCUUCGGCUCAACCGAAGAAGUGCAUCGGAAACUGGGAAACUUGAGUGCAGAAGAGGACAGUGGAACUCCAUGUGUAGCGGUGAAAUGCGUAGAUAUAUGGAAGAACACCAGUGGCGAAGGCGGCUGUCUGGUCUGUAACUGACGCUGAGGCUCGAAAGUAUGGGUAGCAAACAGGAUUAGAUACCCUGGUAGUCCAUACCGUAAACGAUGAAUGCUAAGUGUUGGAGGGUUUCCGCCCUUCAGUGCUGCAG